CCUACGGGAGGCAGCAGUGAGGAAUAUUGGUCAAUGGACGAGAGUCUGAACCAGCCAAGUAGCGUGAAGGAUGACUGCCCUAUGGGUUGUAAACUUCUUUUAUAAAGGAAUAAAACGAGGCACGUGUGCCUUUUUGUAUGUACUUUAUGAAUAAGGAUCGGCUAACUCCGCGCCAGCAGCCGCGGUAAUAUGGAGGAUCCGAGCGUUAUCCGGAUUUAUUGGGUUUAAAGGGAGCGUAGAUGGGUUGUUAAGUCAGUUGUGAAAGUUUGCGGCUCAACCGUGGAAUUGCAAUUGAUACUGGCAGUCUUGAGUACAGUUAAGGUAAGCGGAAUUCGUGGUGUAGCGGUGAAAUGCUUAGAUAUCACGAAGAACCCCGAUUGCGAAGGCAGCUUACUAAACUGUGACUGACAUUGAUGCUCGAAAGUGUGGGUAUCAAACAGGAUUAGAUACCCUAGUAGUC
This 460-nucleotide ribosomal RNA is filed under the name uncultured bacterium. RNAcentral describes it as "partial 16S ribosomal RNA". It matches the Rfam family "Bacterial small subunit ribosomal RNA", at positions 338 to 795 of the family's 1533-position model. The record is from RNAcentral.